GUCUCUGUGGCUUAAUUGGUUAAUGAACCUGACUCAUAAACAGGAAAUCCUGGGUUCAAUUGCCAGAGGGACU
This 73-nucleotide transfer RNA is filed under the name Neotoma lepida (desert woodrat). It matches the Rfam family "tRNA". Rfam says of the family: Transfer RNA (tRNA) molecules are approximately 80 nucleotides in length. Their secondary structure includes four short double-helical elements and three loops (D, anti-codon, and T loops). Further hydrogen bonds mediate the characteristic L-shaped molecular structure. tRNAs have two regions of fundamental functional importance: the anti-codon, which is responsible for specific mRNA codon recognition, and the 3' end, to which the tRNAs corresponding amino acid is attached (by aminoacyl-tRNA synthetases). tRNAs cope with the degeneracy of the genetic code in two manners: having more than one tRNA (with a specific anti-codon) for a particular amino acid; and 'wobble' base-pairing, i.e. permitting non-standard base-pairing at the 3rd anti-codon position. Lineage: Eukaryota; Metazoa; Chordata; Mammalia; Rodentia; Cricetidae. The record is from Rfam by way of RNAcentral.